GUCCACGCUGUAAACGAUGAACACUAGAUAUUGGAGGAUUUGACCCCUUCAGUGUCGCAGCUAACGCGUUAAGUGUUCCGCCUGGGAAGUACGGUCGCAAGACUAAAACUCAAAGGAAUUGACGGGGGCCCGCACAAGCGGUGGAUUAUGUGGUUUAAUUCGAAGCAACGCGCAGAACCUUACCUAGGCUUGAAAUCCUACGAAUCCCUUUUUAAACGAGGGAGUGCCCUUCGGGGAAUGUAGUGACAGGCGCUGCAUGGCUGUCGU
Molecule: ribosomal RNA, 267 nt
Filed under: uncultured bacterium
Lineage: Bacteria
Description: partial 16S ribosomal RNA
Rfam family: Bacterial small subunit ribosomal RNA
Source: RNAcentral